Molecule: long non-coding RNA, 477 nt
Organism: Orbicella faveolata
Lineage: Eukaryota; Metazoa; Cnidaria; Anthozoa; Scleractinia; Merulinidae
Source: RefSeq, a predicted model, not a curated record
AUUCCUUCCCGAUGGAGUGUUUGCCACCGUGAGAAAACUGGAAUGGCUGUUUUUGGACUCGAACGCUUUAACGUUUCUUCCUGAAGCAGUAUUCUCUUCUCUGAACAAUCUGCGAUCGCUGCAUUUAUAUGAAAACGCUAUAAAAUAUCUACCUGGCAAAGUGUUUGCCUCACAAAAAAUGCUACUAUAUCUGUAAGUGCAUGUACAUCAAGAUAUCGCUUACAACGCCCCCGUUCCCCCGUAUUUCUUCUUUGCUUUCCAGGCCUUUCCUUUUGCGUUCCCCAAUGAGUUUCCUUGUACAUUCCCUUGUACGAUGUUAGUGCGAUCUCUGUUGCAUUCCCUAGUGUAUUUCCUACACUCGUUUCUCAUUGUGCAUUCUGUUUUGAGACGGCAUUUGCCAGUAUUGGCAAACUAGCUGACCGUUGAACACAUUUCAUUUACUGACCGUCAUUAUCGUUAUUCAAUGUAUUCAAUACG